Molecule: ribosomal RNA, 253 nt
Filed under: uncultured bacterium
Lineage: Bacteria
Description: partial 16S ribosomal RNA
Rfam family: Bacterial small subunit ribosomal RNA
Source: RNAcentral
UACGUAGGUGGCAAGCGUUGUCCGGAUUUACUGGGCGUAAAGAGCGCGCAGGCGGUCGUUCAAGUCGCGUGUGAAAGCCCCCGGCUCAACUGGGGAGGGUCACGCGAUACUGAUCGACUCGAAGGCAGGAGAGGGAAGUGGAAUUCCCGGUGUAGUGGUGAAAUGCGUAGAUAUCGGGAGGAACACCAGUGGCGAAGGCGGCACUCUGGGCCAGUACUGACGCUGAGGAGCGAAAGCCAGGGGAGCAAACGGG